UACGUAGGGGGCAAGCGUUGUCCGGAUUUAUUGGGCGUAAAGAGCUCGUAGGUGGUUCGGUAAGUCGGAUGUGAAAUCUCCAGGCUCAACCUGGAGGGGUCAUUCGAUACUGCCGUGACUAGAGGUCGGUAGGGGAGUGUGGAAUUCCUGGUGGAGCGGUGAAAUGCGCAGAUAUCAGGAGGAACACCGGUGGCGAAGGCGGGUCUCUGGGCCGAUACUGACGCUGAGGAGCGAAAGCGUGGGGAGCGAACAGG
This 254-nucleotide ribosomal RNA is filed under the name uncultured bacterium. RNAcentral describes it as "partial 16S ribosomal RNA". It matches the Rfam family "Bacterial small subunit ribosomal RNA", at positions 524 to 776 of the family's 1533-position model. The record is from RNAcentral.